Molecule: ribosomal RNA, 274 nt
Filed under: uncultured bacterium
Lineage: Bacteria
Description: partial 16S ribosomal RNA
Rfam family: Bacterial small subunit ribosomal RNA
Source: RNAcentral
ACACGAACCGCACGAACGUUAUUCGGAAUCACUGGGCUUAAAGGGUGCGUAGGCGGUCCGGCAAGUUGGGUGUGAAAGCCCUCGGCUCAACCGAGGAAUUGCGCCCAAAACUACCGGACUUGAGGAAGACAGAGGUGAGCGGAACUUGCGGUGGAGCGGUGAAAUGCGUUGAUAUCGCAAGGAACACCAGUGGCGAAAGCGGCUCACUGGGUCUUUUCUGACGCUGAGGCACGAAAGCUAGGGGAGCGAACGGGAUUAGAAACCCGUGUAGUCC